CAAUACGUAGGUGGCAAGCGUUCAUCCGGAAUUAUUGGGCGUAAACGCGCGCGUAGGCGGUUUUUUAAGUCUGAUGUGAAAGCCCACGGCUCAACCGUGGAGGGUCAUUGGAAACUGAAAAACUUGAGUGCAGAAGAGGAAAGUGGAAUUCCAUGUGUAGCGGUGAAAUGCGCAGAGAUAUGGAGGAACACCAGUGGCGAAGGCGACUUUCUGGUCUGUAACUGACGCUGAUGUGCGAAAGCGUGGGGAUCAAACAGGAUUAGAUACCCUGGUAGUCCACGCCGUAAACGAUGAGUGCUAAGUGUUAGGGGGUUUCCGCCCCUUAGUGCUGCAGCUAACGCAUUAAGCACUCCGCCUGGGGAGUACGGCCGCAAGGUUAAACUCAAAGGAAUAUGACCGCUCUAGAGAUAGAGUCUUCCCCUUCGCGGGACAAAGUGACAGGUGGUGCAUGGUUGUCGUCAGCUCGUGUCGUGAGAUGUUGGGUUAAGUCCCGCAACGAGCGCAACCCUUAAGCUUAGUUGCCAUCAUUCAGUUGGGCACUCUAAGUUGACUGCCGGUGACAAACCGGAGGAAGGUGGGGAUGACGUCAAAUCAUCAUGCCCCUUAUGAUUUGGGCUACACACGUGCUACAAUGGACAAUACAAAGGGCAGCGAAACCGCGAGGUCAAGCAAAUCCCAUAAAGUUGUUCUCAGUUCGGAUUGUAGUCUGCAACUCGACUACAUGAAGCUGGAAUCGCUAGUAAUCGUAGAUCMGCAUGCUACGGUGAAUACGUUCCCGGGUCUGCUA
RNAcentral lists this ribosomal RNA (787 nucleotides) under uncultured Staphylococcus sp. RNAcentral describes it as "bacterial SSU rRNA". It matches the Rfam family "Bacterial small subunit ribosomal RNA", at positions 521 to 1385 of the family's 1533-position model. The record is from RNAcentral. Lineage: Bacteria; Bacillati; Bacillota; Bacilli; Caryophanales; Staphylococcaceae.